AUAUCCAUGAUGACUCCACAUGUGCAUUCCUUGGAAAGCUGAACAUAGUGAAUGAGGAAUCCUUUACUAUUGUCCUCAUGGAAGCUGAGGUCU
RNAcentral lists this small nucleolar RNA (93 nucleotides) under Vulpes vulpes (red fox). Its description in RNAcentral is "Small nucleolar RNA SNORD116 (ENSVVUG00000009275.1)". It matches the Rfam family "Small nucleolar RNA SNORD116". From Rfam's summary of the family: HBII-85 is a member of the C/D class of snoRNAs, which contain the C (UGAUGA) and D (CUGA) box motifs. HBII-85 is encoded in a tandemly repeated array with another C/D snoRNA, HBII-52, in the Prader-Willi syndrome (PWS) region of chromosome 15. Lineage: Eukaryota; Metazoa; Chordata; Mammalia; Carnivora; Canidae. The record is from Rfam by way of RNAcentral.